Molecule: ribosomal RNA, 1178 nt
Filed under: Sesame phyllody phytoplasma
Lineage: Bacteria; Bacillati; Mycoplasmatota; Mollicutes; Acholeplasmatales; Acholeplasmataceae
Description: bacterial SSU rRNA
Rfam family: Bacterial small subunit ribosomal RNA
Source: RNAcentral
UCUUUUAAAAGACCUAGUUAAAUAGGUAUGCUUUAGGAGGGGCUUGCGCCAUAUUAGUUAGUUGGUAGGGUAAUGGCCUACCAAGACGAUGAUGUGUAGCUGGACUGAGAGGUUGAACAGCCACAUUGGGACUGAGACACGGCCCAAACUCCUACGGGAGGCAGCAGUAGGGAAUUUUCGGCAAUGGAGGAAACUCUGACCGAGCAACGCCGCGUGAAUGACGAAGUACUUCGGUAUGUAAAGUUCUUUUAUCGAGGAAGAAAAGCAAAUGGCGAACCAUUUGUUUGCCGGUACUUGAUGAAUAAGCCCCGGCUAAUUAUGUGCCAGCAGCCGCGGUAAGACAUAAGGGGCAAGUGUUAUCCGGAAUUAUUGGGCGUAAAGGGUGCGUAGGCGGUCUAGUAAGUCAGUGGUGUAAUGUCAACGCUUAACGUUGUCCGGCUAUUGAAACUGCUAAACUUGAGUUAGAUAGAGGCGAGUGGAAUUCCAUGUGUAGCGGUAAAAUGCGUAAAUAUAUGGAGGAACACCAGAGGCGUAGGCGGCUCGCUGGGUCUUAACUGACGCUGAGGCACGAAAGCGUGGGGAGCAAACAGGAUUAGAUACCCUGGUAGUCCACGCCGUAAACGAUGAGUACUAAGUGUCGGGUUAAACCGGUACUGAAGUUAACACAUUAAGUACUCCGCCUGAGUAGUACGUACGCAAGUAUGAAACUUAAAGGAAUUGACGGGACUCCGCACAAGCGGUGGAUCAUGUUGUUUAAUUCGAAGAUACCCGAAAAACCUUACCAGGUCUUGACAUGUUUUUGCAAAAUGAUAGUAAUAUCGUGGAGGUUACCAGAAACACAGGUGGUGCAUGGUUGUCGUCAGCUCGUGUCGUGAGAUGUUAGGUUAAGUCCUAAAACGAGCGAAACCCUUAUCGUUAGUUGCCAGCACGUUAUGGUGGGGACUUUAACGAGACUGCCAAUGAUAAAUUGGAGGAAGGUGAGGAUCACGUCAAAUCAGCAUGCCCCUUAUGACCUGGGCUACAAACGUGAUACAAUGGCUGUUACAAAGGGUAGCUGAAACGCAAGUUCUUGGCCAAUCCCCAAAAACAGUCCCAGUCCGGAUUGAAGUCUGCAACUCGACUUCAUGAAGUUGGAAUCGCUAGUAAUCGCGAAUCAGCAUGUCGCGGUGAAUACGUUC